CGAGCAGCUUGCGGGUGGACGCGCGGCCACACCGGCGGCACGCCGCGCCGCCAUCAACAAGUUGGGUCGUUUUUUUUUUAUAUUUUUUUUUACUUUUUUUGUUUCGCGUUAGGUAGGGAUUAGUACCUAAUCGUGUGGUUUGUUGAUGGUUGGGGUCGAGCACUCACCAAUAGUAAGGUGAGGUCACUUCCCCGCCGUUUUAGGAUGUUGAGGGAGUGGUAGUUGUGACUGAUGGCUGUUGAGCCGUUAGUGGUUGUUGAUGGUUGGGGUCGAGCACUCACCAAUAGUGAGGUGAGGUCACUUCCCCACCAUUUUAAGAUGUUAAGGGAGUGGUGGUUGUGACUGAUGGCUUUUGAAGUCGUUAGUGUUCGUUGGUGGACGUAGUUAUUGCUACGAACACGUAUUGUUGUUGUAAUGAGUCAUUGCGACUUGCUUACCGACAUGUUUUUGGUGCUCGUAUGCGCGCUAUUGAUGCGAUUUCUUGGAUGCGAAGUAUUUCUUGGAUGCGAAGUAUUUUUUUUGGAUGCGAAGAUUUCUUGGAUACGAAGUAUUUCUUGGAUGCGAAGUAUUUUUUGGAUGCGAAGAUUUCUUGGAUGCGAAGUAUUUUUUCGAUGCGAAGAAUUUUAUGGAUGCUGUCUGAUGUUGCUGUGCUCAUGAUGAGCACGGGUGGUUUAUGUGCCGUCUCAGGCAAGUUUGUAAGUUGUGCGGCCUCUGCCGGCAAUGGCAUUUUUGCCUUUAUUUUUUCUAUUCUUUUUAAGUUUUUCUUUGUAUUUCUAGGAUUUUAUUUUUGCUGUUUGUACUGAAUGGCAUUUUUUUGCCUUUAUUUAUUUUCAUUGCUAUAGUUUUACUUUUUUAUUUUAAAUUAUUUCCCUUUCAAGUUAAACUUGAAUAUUUUUGUUGAGGUUUGAGUUUUGGUUUGUUUGAGGGAUCAGCUGGAGGGCCAGCUGGGAUUUCCUCGUUUGUUUUAUUUUUUUUAAUUAUUAUUUUUUUUCACUCGGAAAUCCUUUUGGGUGGGGAGGUAUUGUAGUGCCGUUUCUUUCAGCCUCCGGAUUAGUUACAGGGGACCCGUUUUAUAGCUUUUUUGUGUAGUAUUGGACACAGCGCCAUCUCGCGUUGUUCAGUGGAAGGUCCGGGACCAUCGACUUGCUAUCGUUGGGCUCCGCAGUCGACGACUUUCCACCAGUAACCGGAGGAUGGUGUGUGCCGAUAUUAUACGGAAGGCUAUAUCUUGGAGUCCCUUGUCAAGUAGCUGCUGAAGAAUGUUGGUGUCAAUAUUUAAUACACAUCGGGAAUUUUCAGUCAGUCUCCUGUCCUUGGAUUUGUUAAUAAGUUGCAUUUUGGGUGUGCGACGGCGGCGUCAUCUAACGGACGAUUGAGGUUGUACUGGCUUUGUCCGUGACGUAGGCGUUGAAUUGGGCGAUUUAUAUAGUCCUGCGCCUGCGAGCUGCCGCAUUCCCCAGACAGCGCUCCGCCGAGCGGGUGUGUCCACACCUUCAAUUUUUAGUGUGAAUUUCGGGCGGUUUAUAAGCGUGUGACCGGUGGCCCGCAACUCCGUCGCACGCGCCGCCAAAUCUUCGUAAAUUUUUAUUCUGGUAAGUAAGUUAUACAUUUCUGUCAUCUGUCGUGACUCGUGAGUGUUAGUGUUUGCGGUCAGGAUUCUAAUGUGCGAUUUGUUCCGAAUAGGUGUGGUUUUGGUGUCCGUGGCGUGGACACGUUGCUCCGCCAUUUUGUCCCAGCGUCGUGGCAUCGACGUCAUCGUACGUUGGCCGCAUACGUGGCUUCUCGACCUCCGACAGGUGAGUCUUUUUAUACGAUUUUGGGGAGUUAGUUGGGUUGUGCCUCCGCCCCUAGAGGUUUAAUUUACCCCUGUGUGUUUUGUCCACAGGAGGUGUUUUGGGAUGGCUGUUUUGUGAUGGCUGUUUUGAGACGUCUGUUUUGAGACGUCUGUUUUGAGACGUCUGUUUUACGAAGGCUGUUCUGUUCUAUGACGGGUGUUUUGUACAGCUGUUCUGCUACAGCUACAGCUUAUUGGUAGCUGCUCCUAGUCGGCUCGGCUUCCUUCCCGCCGCCGAGGGCAAACGAGCUAGGGAGGUUUUUAUAAUACCUUUCUUAUUUUUUUAAUAAUGCUUAACGAAUGACCAGUGGCCUUGAAUACCUGGAAUGUACCCUUAGGAUUUAAAAGUUCCAAAUACCUAUUUAUAUUUUUGUGUAACUUUGGUUUUCUUAGUGAUUAAUAAAUUCGAGUAAACCCA
Long non-coding RNA from Pectinophora gossypiella (pink bollworm), 2252 nucleotides. RefSeq lists it as uncharacterized. The record is from RefSeq and is a predicted model, not a curated record. Lineage: Eukaryota; Metazoa; Arthropoda; Insecta; Lepidoptera; Gelechiidae. The transcript has 3 exons.